GAUGAAGAACGCAGCGAAAUGCGAUAAGUAGUGUGAAUUGCAGAAUUCAGUGAAUCAUCGAAUCUUUGAACGCACAUUGCGGCCAUAGGUAUUCCUUUGGCCAUGCCUGUUCGAGCGUCAUUUACACCCUCAAGCCUAGCUUGGUGUUGGGCGUCUGUCCCGCCGUUCUCGCGCGCGGACUCGCCUCAAAGUCAUUGGCGGCGGUCGUGCCGGCCCCCUCGCGCAGCACAUUUGCGCUUCUCGGAGGCCCGGCGGAUCCGCGCUCCAGCAAGACCUUUCACGACUUGACCUCGGAUCAGGUAGGGAUACCCGCUGAACUUAAGCAUAUCAAUAGCGGAGGA
This 341-nucleotide unclassified non-coding RNA is filed under the name soil metagenome. Its description in RNAcentral is "partial contains 5.8S ribosomal RNA, internal transcribed spacer 2, and large subunit ribosomal RNA". The stretch from base 1 to 120 matches the Rfam family "5.8S ribosomal RNA", at positions 35 to 154 of the family's 154-position model. The record is from RNAcentral.